AUUGAACGCUGGCGGCAGGCCUAACACAUGCAAGUCGGACGGUAGCACAGAGAGCUUGCUCUCGGGUGACGAGUGGCGGACGGGUGAGUAAUGUCUGGGGAUCUGCCCGAUAGAGGGGGAUAACCACUGGAAACGGUGGCUAAUACCGCAUAACGUCGCAAGACCAAAGAGGGGGACCUUCGGGCCUCUCACUAUCGGAUGAACCCAGAUGGGAUUAGCUAGUAGGCGGGGUAACGGCCCACCUAGGCGACGAUCCCUAGCUGGUCUGAGAGGAUGACCAGCCACACUGGAACUGAGACACGGUCCAGACUCCUACGGGAGGCAGCAGUGGGGAAUAUUGCACAAUGGGCGCAAGCCUGAUGCAGCCAUGCCGCGUGUAUGAAGAAGGCCUUCGGGUUGUAAAGUACUUUCAGCGGGGAGGAAGGCGGUGCGGUUAAUAACCGCGCCGAUUGACGUUACCCGCAGAAGAAGCACCGGCUAACUCCGUGCCAGCCGCCGCAGUAA
This 504-nucleotide ribosomal RNA is filed under the name uncultured bacterium. Its description in RNAcentral is "partial 16S ribosomal RNA". It matches the Rfam family "Bacterial small subunit ribosomal RNA", at positions 29 to 523 of the family's 1533-position model. The record is from RNAcentral.